AGGCUGCAACUCGCCUACACGAAGUCGGAAUCGCUAGUAAUCGCGGAUCAGCAUGCCGCGGUGAAUACGUUCCCGGGCCUUGUACACACCGCCCGUCCACACCAUGGGAGUUUGUAACGCCCAAAGUCGGUGGCCUAACCUUUAUGGAGGGAGCCGCCUAAGGCGGGACAGAUGACUGGGGUGAAGUCGUAACAAGGUACC
RNAcentral lists this ribosomal RNA (201 nucleotides) under uncultured bacterium. RNAcentral describes it as "partial 16S ribosomal RNA". It matches the Rfam family "Bacterial small subunit ribosomal RNA", at positions 1302 to 1500 of the family's 1533-position model. The record is from RNAcentral.